RNAcentral lists this ribosomal RNA (382 nucleotides) under uncultured bacterium. Its description in RNAcentral is "bacterial SSU rRNA". It matches the Rfam family "Bacterial small subunit ribosomal RNA", at positions 335 to 713 of the family's 1533-position model. The record is from RNAcentral.
ACUCCUACGGGAGGCAGCAGUGGGGAAUAUUGCACAAUGGGCGCAAGCCUGAUGCAGCCAUGCCGCGUGUGUGAAGAAGGCCUUGGGUUGUAAAGCACUUUCAGUCGUGAGGAAGGUAGUGUAGUUAAUAGCUGCAUUAUUUGACGUUAGCGACAGAAGAAGCACCGGCUAACUCCGUGCCAGCAGCCGCGGUAAUACGGAGGGUGCGAGCGUUAAUCGGAAUUACUGGGCGUAAAGCGCAUGCAGGUGGUUGUUAAGUCAGAUGUGAAAGCCCGGGGCUCAACCUCGGAAUAGCAUUUGAAACUGGCAGACUAGAGUACUGUAGAGGGGGUAGAAUUUCAGGUGUAGCGGUGAAAUGCGUAGAGAUCUGAAGGAUACCGGU